Molecule: small nuclear RNA, 105 nt
Organism: Suricata suricatta (meerkat)
Lineage: Eukaryota; Metazoa; Chordata; Mammalia; Carnivora; Herpestidae
Source: Ensembl
GUGCUCACUUCAGUAUAUAUACUAAAAUUGUAAUGGAACAGAAAAGCGUUACCAUGGCCCCUAUGCUAGGGUGACAUACAAAUUCGUGAACCAUCACACGCCAUA